Molecule: long non-coding RNA, 1182 nt
Filed under: Anser brachyrhynchus (Pink-footed goose)
Lineage: Eukaryota; Metazoa; Chordata; Aves; Anseriformes; Anatidae
Description: lncRNA (ENSABRG00000001817.1)
Source: RNAcentral
GCAGCCAAGGCAAACACAAACGGAAGACAGAUAAUUUGCACACAAUGGCGCGCACGUGUGCUUGGUGUGCGCGCGCGUACGUGUGCGUGUGCGUGCACACGCAGCCUUUGUUUACAGCCCGCUGCUGGGGCUGGAAGUGAGCCCCCGCCCUUUUGGUUUGCAAUCGUUCAUCUUGUAGUUUUGUGGGCGUCUCGGUGCAAACAAGAAGGGAGCCUCACGUACACGAGCUGGGCAGGUGGUUAGGUGGGCGCUUCCAGGUGCACGGCUGCGACUCCGAUAAGAUCUUUCCCCCUGUGCUUUCUCUAAGCUUUAUGAGGUCAAAUAAUAAAGCGUAAAAAUACAGGGCUGAUUCCAGGAUCGGUCAGCCUCAGAGGCUUCAAAGUGUGUCUCCGGGACACUUCCCUCAGCCACCUGGGGCUGUUUGGGAACCACGAAGGAGGGAGAGGGCUGACAAAGUGAGCUGUCCCGCCUGGAGGAGAGGGGCUCAGCCCUGUGAUCCGGUUAACCUGUCCUCCCAAGGGUGUGGGGCCGUGGGGUUUGUACAAAUCAGGCUGAGCCAAGGCUGAAUUUUUGAAGGUGUGGAUGGGAGAAGCUGUUCCCCUGGUGUGUUUGGCGUCGUAUCUGUGGUAAGACACGUGGUGACAAAGGAAAUUAAAAACUUGAGAAGCAGCAGGGAGGAUGCGAGCGUGUUAUGCCUGCAUUUUUCUGAAGGCUUUUGCCUUUCUUUCUCCUGUUCCCAGGUCCUUUUGUAAAGGUCAGGUCAUCCUGAGCUAUCACACAGCAGCCUGGAGCAGAGGAGGAGGUGCUGCCUGGGUCUGAGUUGCUGUUUGGGUGCGCAUACAGCGAGGCUGGCUUUCAAGUCCGUGGUGAUCCGCUCCCAUCCUUCAAAGCUGCAUCGAUGGAGCUGACUUUGGAGAUGCCCCAGUGCUGGCUCAUUAACUUCUGCUGCUCAGGAGAUACCACCCAAACCACAAGUGGGCUGCUCAUCUCAGACACCCGACCUUCACGCUCCUCGCAGGGAUCCUGGUGCUUGUACGAGGACCAGGAGAGGGAUUUGCUGCCGGUGAAGGCCGUGGCAGGUGAGUGGCUUUUGCUCCUGCCAUGGACCUGCUGCCUGCUUGGUUUUUAGCAUUGCUCAGUGCAUCUUGUUCUGCAAUCACCGUGCUGUCUGUUCGGGCUGAA